GUUAAGCGACUAAGCGUACACGGUGGAUGCCCUGGCAGUCAGAGGCGAUGAAGGACGUGCUAAUCUGCGAUAAGCGUCGGUAAGGUGAUAUGAACCGUUAUAACCGGCGAUUUCCGAAUGGGGAAACCCAGUGUGUUUCGACACACUAUCAUUAACUGAAUCCAUAGGUUAAUGAGGCGAACCGGGGGAACUGAAACAUCUAAGUACCCCGAGGAAAAGAAAUCAACCGAGAUUCCCCCAGUAGCGGCGAGCGAACGGGGAGGAGCCCAGAGCCUGAAUCAGUGUGUGUGUUAGUGGAAGCGUCUGGAAAGGCGCGCGAUACAGGGUGACAGCCCCGUACACAAAAAUGCACAUACUGUGAGCUCGAUGAGUAGGGCGGGACACGUGGUAUCCUGUCUGAAUAUGGGGGGACCAUCCUCCAAGGCUAAAUACUCCUGACUGACCGAUAGUGAACCAGUACCGUGAGGGAAAGGCGAAAAGAACCCCGGCGAGGGGAGUGAAAAAGAACCUGAAACCGUGUACGUACAAGCAGUGGGAGCCUCUUUUAUGGGGUGACUGCGUACCUUUUGUAUAAUGGGUCAGCGACUUAUAUUCUGUAGCAAGGUUAACCGAAUAGGGGAGCCGAAGGGAAACCGAGUCUUAACUGGGCGUUAAGUUGCAGGGUAUAGACCCGAAACCCGGUGAUCUAGCCAUGGGCAGGUUGAAGGUUGGGUAACACUAACUGGAGGACCGAACCGACUAAUGUUGAAAAAUUAGCGGAUGACUUGUGGCUGGGGGUGAAAGGCCAAUCAAACCGGGAGAUAGCUGGUUCUCCCCGAAAGCUAUUUAGGUAGCGCCUCGUGAAUUCAUCUCCGGGGGUAG
This 861-nucleotide ribosomal RNA is filed under the name Escherichia coli. RNAcentral describes it as "partial 23S ribosomal RNA". It matches the Rfam family "Bacterial large subunit ribosomal RNA", at positions 1 to 905 of the family's 2925-position model. Lineage: Bacteria; Pseudomonadati; Pseudomonadota; Gammaproteobacteria; Enterobacterales; Enterobacteriaceae. The record is from RNAcentral.